CCUACGGGGGGCAGCAGUGAGGAAUAUUGGUCAAUGGUCGGGAGACUGAACCAGCCAAGCCGCGUGCGGGAUGAAGGUACAGAGUAUCGUAAACCUCUUUUGUCAGGGAACAAAGGCGGGGACGUGUCCCCGGCUGAGUGUACCUGAAGAAAAAGCAUCGGCUAACUCCGUGCCAGCAGCCGCGGUAAUACGGAGGAUGCGAGCGUUAUCCGGUUUUAUUGGGUUUAAAGGGUGCGCAGGCGGUCUGUUAAGUCAGCGGGAAAACCCCGGGGCUCAACCCCGGCCCGCCGUUGAAACUGGCAGUCUCGAGUUGGAGAGAGGUAUGCGGAAUGCGCGGUGUAGCGGUGAAAUGCAUAGAUAUCGCGCAGAACUCCGAUUGCGAAGGCAGCAUGCCGGCUCCACACUGACGCUGAGGCACGAAAGCGUGGGUAUCGAACAGGAUUAGAUACCCUGGUAGUC
RNAcentral lists this ribosomal RNA (459 nucleotides) under uncultured bacterium. Its description in RNAcentral is "partial 16S ribosomal RNA". It matches the Rfam family "Bacterial small subunit ribosomal RNA", at positions 338 to 795 of the family's 1533-position model. The record is from RNAcentral.